CAAGAGUAAAAGACGUUG
Molecule: small RNA, 18 nt
Filed under: Arabidopsis thaliana (thale cress)
Lineage: Eukaryota; Viridiplantae; Streptophyta; Magnoliopsida; Brassicales; Brassicaceae
Description: ATSL228100
Source: RNAcentral